UUUGCUUAUAUUGUAUCUUAAUUGUUUAUUCAUUUUUGUAUUCUUCAUUUAGUUUAAUUUUACCAUACUUCACGUUCACUAAAAUUUGUGCAUAGUAAAUUUUAAAUUUUUAAAAAUUCAAUUCAUUUUUCUUUUUAGAUUAUCUUUUUGGGCAACAUCAUAUCUCUUAGCUAUAAAUAAAUAUAGAGCCUUCAUCAAAAGUAAUCCAUAAAUC
This 214-nucleotide long non-coding RNA is filed under the name Elaeis guineensis (African oil palm). Its description in RNAcentral is "long non-coding RNA (EGUI_LNC039720)". Lineage: Eukaryota; Viridiplantae; Streptophyta; Magnoliopsida; Arecales; Arecaceae. The record is from RNAcentral.